AGUUGUGGCUUCUUAAAGUUACCAAGCUUUCUUAUCAGCUGCGAUCACUAAAAUGUUGGCUCCCUGAAAGACUUCAGAUCAUAAAAUUGCAGAAUUGUAGAGCUGGAAGGGACAACAAGGAAAUGUAGUUCAACCCAGACGACCUUCCCUUG
This is a non-coding RNA of Pseudonaja textilis, 152 nucleotides long. The record is from RefSeq and is a predicted model, not a curated record. Lineage: Eukaryota; Metazoa; Chordata; Lepidosauria; Squamata; Elapidae.